GAUGAACGCUAGCGACAGGCCUAACACAUGCAAGUCGAGGGGCAGCACAGAAACAGCAAUGUUUUGGUGGCGACCGGCGGACGGGUGCGUAACGCGUAUGCAACCUACCUUUAACAGGGGGAUAACGGAGAGAAAUUUUCACUAAUACCCCAUAACAUCGAUCAAGGCAUCUUGAUUGGUUGAAAACUCCGGUGGUUAAAGAUGGGCAUGCGUUGUAUUAGGUAGUUGGUGAGGUAAUGGCUCACCAAGCCUACGAUACAUAGGGGGACUGGUAGGUUAGCCCCCCACACUGGUACUGAGACUCGGACCAGACUCCUACGGGAGGCAGCAGUGAGGAAUAUUGGUCAAUGGGGGCAACCCUGAACCAGCCAUGCCGCGUGCAGGAAGACGGCUCUAUGAGUUGUAAACUGCUUUUAAACAGGGAUAAAGCACAGUAUGUAUACUGUGUUGAAGGUACUGUAAGAAUAAGGAUCGGCUAACUCCGUGCCAGCCGCCGCAGUAA
RNAcentral lists this ribosomal RNA (502 nucleotides) under uncultured bacterium. RNAcentral's name for it is "partial 16S ribosomal RNA". It matches the Rfam family "Bacterial small subunit ribosomal RNA", at positions 28 to 523 of the family's 1533-position model. The record is from RNAcentral.